GAUGAACGCUGGCGGCGUGCCUAAUACAUGCAAGUCGAGCGAACGGACGAGAAGCUUGCUUCUCUGAUGUUAGCGGCGGACGGGUGAGUAACACGUGGAUAACCUACCUAUAAGACUGGGAUAACUUCGGGAAACCGGAGCUAAUACCGGAUAAUAUUUUGAACCGCAUGGUUCAAAAGUGAAAGACGGUCUUGCUGUCACUUAUAGAUGGAUCCGCGCUGCAUUAGCUAGUUGGUAAGGUAACGGCUUACCAAGGCAACGAUGCAUAGCCGACCUGAGAGGGUGACCGGCCACACGGGAACUGAGACACGGUCCAGACUCCUACGGGAGGCAGCAGUAGGGAAUCUUCCGCAAUGGGCGAAAGCCUGACGGAGCAACGCCGCGUGAGUGAUGAAGGUCUUCGGAUCGUAAAACUCUGUUAUUAGGGAAGAACAUAUGUGUAAGUAACUGUGCACAUCUUGACGGUACCUAAUCAGAAAGCCACGGCUAACUACGUG
This 497-nucleotide ribosomal RNA is filed under the name uncultured bacterium. RNAcentral describes it as "partial 16S ribosomal RNA". It matches the Rfam family "Bacterial small subunit ribosomal RNA", at positions 28 to 507 of the family's 1533-position model. The record is from RNAcentral.